AUUGAACGCUGGCGGCAUGCCUUACACAUGCAAGUCGAACGGCAGCACGGGAGCAAUCCUGGUGGCGAGUGGCGAACGGGUGAGUAAUGUAUCGGAACGUGCCCAGUCGUGGGGGAUAACGUAGCGAAAGCUACGCUAAUACCGCAUACGAUCUGUGGAUGAAAGCGGGGGACCGUAAGGCCUCGCGCGAUUGGAGCGGCCGAUAUCAGAUUAGGUAGUUGGUGGGGUAAAGGCCUACCAAGCCGACGAUCUGUAGCUGGUCUGAGAGGACGCCCAGCCACACUGGGACUGGGACACGGCCCAGACUCCUACGGGAGGCAGCAGUGGGGAAUUUUGGACAAUGGGCGCAAGCCUGAUCCAGCAAUGCCGCGUGCAGGAUGAAGGCCUUCGGGUUGUAAACUGCUUUUGUACGGAGCGAAAAGGCUCUCUCUAAUACAGGGGGCUCAUGACGGUACCGUAAGAAUAAGCACCGGCUAACUACGUGCCAGCCGCCGCGGUAA
RNAcentral lists this ribosomal RNA (500 nucleotides) under uncultured bacterium. RNAcentral's name for it is "partial 16S ribosomal RNA". It matches the Rfam family "Bacterial small subunit ribosomal RNA", at positions 30 to 523 of the family's 1533-position model. The record is from RNAcentral.